CUAGGAAAUUGCUAGAGUAGAGCAUCAGUUACCUUUUUCACUGCGUGGUGCUCAUACUUAACAACAGUGAGAGAAACAGUAAGGAUUUCUUGAGCGUCUUUCACCAGCUUAACCUAAGAGUGGUUACACCCAAUCCAUACCACAUUCCAACCAGUAAACAGGAUAUGGGCACUGUGGUCCUGGGAAAGCUGGAAUCAGGAUCUAUUUGUAAAGGCCAACAGCUUGUGAUGAUGCCAAACAAGGUAAGAGUAAAUAAUACUCUUUCUCAUUUAGAUUUUCUCUUCAAAAUAUUAGCAAGGAGCCAGAACUUUUCAAGAGCUUAGGGAUUUCCAUGAAAACAUGACAUUAAUAAAAUGUAAUCCUGGAUUUUAACAGUUAAGUAUAGAAUUUAAUACAGAAUAUAUGAUGGUAUAGUUAUUCAGUGACAAAUGGGGAAGGGUCAGUAUUAGCAACACAUUAGAGCUAAGAUGCCUCAUCAAGAGAUUUUUAGCUCCAUUCUCUUAUAGGAAGUAAGUAAGAGACCUGGAGUGGUUAAGUGACUUGCUUCUGUUAACACACUGGAUUAAGUGAGCCAGGGCUGAAAACUCAGGUUUAAUCAUGAUAUAAUUGGCUUUUUUAUUUUAUUUAUUUAUUUUUAGUAUGUAGCUAUGCUGGGUACUAAUGUGUUCAAGUAAUGCUCCUAAUUUGUUUUGAGAAGAGGAUUUGCCUAUAUUAUGAGUGGGUCUUUUCUUAACUCUUUCUAUCUUAUUGUAAUUUCUUCAUUAUUGGAGAGGGUUUCAUUAAAAUACCCAGAUCCCCACAAAUGUUUCCUAUGUGUUAUUUCUAACUGCUCAGUCAGUGAUAAUUGCAGCUGACCUGUUUGUUACCAAGAAACUGUUACUGUUUUCCAGAGAGGGCUUCUCUAACAAGUCAAGGAUAUUUAGGUAGGAAGACAGACCUGAAUCAUCAGUCUGCAAACAGAGAUUUUGUUAGGUUUGAGAGAAUCUCUUACCAUGCUCAUCCCAGGCACAGUGAAUUAAAAAAAGGGAUCCAUUGUCAAAGUAAUGCUUAGGUGUAAUUAGCAACUUGCAGAUUAUACUACUUUUUAGGUUUCUUGAUGCCUUAUACAUUGGAGGAUGGAGUCUCCUAUCAUAGUCUCUUACUUUCUAAGGCAAUUAUCUCUGCUACUUGAAGGUCAGUGACAACUGAAGGAAAAUAACAGUCAGGUAAAAUCCUUGCUCAAUUUUGUCUGUAGAGCAGUCACAGAAGUAGACUUUGCUCAUGGAGAUAGAAGGUGGACUGGUGGUUGCAAGGGGCUAGGGGAGGAAGAAUAGGAAGGAACUGCUUAAUGGACACAGGGUUGUGGGGUGGUGAUGUUUGGGAGCUAGGUACCAGGUAUAGUUGUACAACAUUGUGAAAGGAAUAGAUGCUGCUGAAGUGUACAAUGUAAAAUGGAUUUGAAAAGUAAAUUUUUUUAUAUGAGUAUAUACUACAACAGAAUGAAAAGUACAAUUCACUGUGUGCUUGUAUCCUUAGUGCCGGGGCUAUUGCUGUAGGUGAGGGGCCUUAAUAUAUGAGUUUCAGAUUCUCUGUGGAAGUGAUCACCUUAUGCUAAUAUAGGUCCAUGUAACAUAUCCCAGAGUUGCUAGGCAAACCUUAAAAACUCACUGCCCUUUAGUCAUCUUGACUCUCAGUGGAAAAAAAAGUUAAAUAUUUUAAAAGACACAGAUGCCACACUAUUUUAUAUUAAAAACAGCUAAUGAGUAGGCAACCUAUGGAAUGGCAAAAUACAAUUACAUACCAUAAAUCUGAUAAGAGGUUAAUAUCCAAAAUAUGUCAAAAAAGUUCUGCAACUCGAAAACAAAACAAAAAAAUACCUGACUAGAAAAUGAGCAAAGGGCUUGAUUUCUCCAAAGAGGAUGUACAAAUGGCCAAUAAGCACAAGGAAAGACGGUCAACAUCACUGGUCAUUGGGGAAAUGCAGAUCAGGACCACAGUAAGGUAUCACCUCACAGCCAUCAGGAGAGCUAUGAUCAAAAAACAGAAAAUAACAAAUGUUAAGGAUGUGGAGAAAUUGGAAUGCUUGUGCACUCUUGGUGGGAAUGUAAAAUUGUGCAGCUGGUAAGGAAUAUGUAAUGAUAUUUCCUCAAACAAUAAAAUCCUAUGAUCCAGCAUUUCCACUUCUGCAUAUAUACCCAAAAUCAUUGAAUACCAAGCUUCAGGAACCUUUGUUCACAGCAGCAUUAUUUGCAGUAGCUAAAACAUGGAACCAACCUGUCAUGUCCAUUGAUGGAUGAGUGGAUGAACAAAAUGUCUUGUACACAUAACAGUGGGAUUAUUCGGCUUAAAGAGGAAAGAAAUUCUGAUACGCUACAACAAGGAUGAACCUUGAAGGCAUUAUGCUAAGUGAAAUAAGCUAGUCACAAAAAGAUGAAUAACAUAUGGUUCAACUUCUAUGAGGUACUUAGAGCAGGUAAAAUCCUUAAUAAACUUUCAUAAACUAAGAGAAUUUGCUGGUCUCAAUCUUAAUUUUUUGUGACUAUGAAUUAAUUUAAAGGUUAGACUAGCUGUAUUGUGUUUAGCUAUAAAAGACCAUAUUUGUGGAGAGGGAUUGUUACACUGGAUUAUUUGGGCAAAAACUAGUAAACAAG
This is a long non-coding RNA of Manis javanica (Malayan pangolin), 2630 nucleotides long. RefSeq lists it as uncharacterized. The record is from RefSeq and is a predicted model, not a curated record. Lineage: Eukaryota; Metazoa; Chordata; Mammalia; Pholidota; Manidae.